RNAcentral lists this ribosomal RNA (489 nucleotides) under uncultured bacterium. RNAcentral's name for it is "bacterial SSU rRNA". It matches the Rfam family "Bacterial small subunit ribosomal RNA", at positions 57 to 518 of the family's 1533-position model. The record is from RNAcentral.
GCGAGUCGAGCGAGAAAGUACCCGCAAGGGAGUGAGUAAAGCGGCGAACGGGUGAGUAACACGUGGGCAACCUGCCCUUCAGUCGGGGAAGUAACCCAUCGAAAGGUGGGCGUAAUACCGGAUAAUGUCCUUUGGGGGCGAUCUCGGAGGACCAAAGGGGGCGAGCGGAAGCGGCUCCCGCUGAGGGAUGGGCCUGCGGCUGAUUAGCUAGUUGGUGGGGUAGCGGCCUACCAAGGCAACGAUCAGUAGCCGACCUGAGAGGGUGACCGGCCACACUGGGACUGAGACACGGCCCAGACUCCUACGGGAGGCAGCAGUGGGGAAUAUUGCGCAAUGGGCGAAAGCCUGACGCAGCGACGCCGCGUGGGUGAUGAAGGCCUUCGGGUCGUAAAACCCUGUCGGGUGGAACGAAUCUCCUCUUCUCUAAUACAGGAGAGGAUUGACGGUACCACCGAAGGAAGCCCCGGCUAACUACGUGCCAGCAGCCGC